Molecule: non-coding RNA, 2844 nt
Organism: Triticum urartu
Lineage: Eukaryota; Viridiplantae; Streptophyta; Magnoliopsida; Poales; Poaceae
Source: RefSeq, a predicted model, not a curated record
ACGCGGCCGUUGCGUCACGGGGGUGGGACGGUGCCAUGGCGGCUGUGGGGUGGAGGGCACGUGCGUGAAGGCAGCGCUUUCCUCUGGCUUCCGGCGAGCCGCGGCAUGGACUUCCCUGCUGUCGUCGUGCUCCCUGAUGCCAGCUCCUCCUUCCUCCCGCCGCUGGACAUGCACAACACCAUCCCAUGGCCUCUGCCCGCUGGCCAGAGAAAGGUUAGUAGUUUCAUUCGUUUUUCCUUGAAGCCGAGAGUAGAUUAAUAAAUUAUCUCGCCCACUAUACCAUACCGUGGAAUGAUCUCGGAUCCUUGCGUUGGCGCAUAAGCAUUAUUUUCGUUGAUUCAUGCCUCAGAUCUAGCAUAAAUAGGAUAAUCCAAAAAGCCUGACCACCAACUGUUUGUGUUUAUGCUCACAACAAAGCUUUUCAUUCUCUAUUUUGAUGGUCUGAAUAUUCCAAUCGAGGAGAAAUCUGUUAGUGCCCUGAGUUCAUCGAUUCUAUGCAGCUAUAAAGUUGAAUGAAUCAGCCAAAAAGUUACGGCCCAGAGCCCUAGACAAACAAAAAAUUAUGCAGGGAAAUCACCUAAAUCAACAGCAGCCAUGGGCUGUUCAGAUGGGGUGGGCGGCCUCGAUCCCAUGCAAAUACGCAGCUCGUAGACGGCCAACAGCGGGGCAGGUAAGGAAAUGCAUGUUUACGCUUUAGAAUGCAUGCUUUCCAGGAUAGAAAUGGACUCUACAGUAAUACCAGUGAUAAAUGCUGAAAAUUUUCUGACAAUACAGAAACCCAGGAAGCAACAAACUACACUGCAAAAUUUAAUAAUAGGUGCAAGACAAGGAAUAAUUGAUCCAGUAUGAAAAAGAAAUAGUCAAUAUACUGUUCUUAUGUAGAUAUGUAAAUUUUAUCCAAUUUUUUUGUUCACACGCAACAAAAAAAUAUUAUUAGUGUCAGGAAAAUGUAAUGGGUGCAUGGGAAACAAUAUUUCUGCUUCAAACAUGUUAGUUACGGCACAAACAAUUGUUGCAUUACAAAAAAGAAAAUGUAUGGUAUAUGAAGCAAAUAAAUAUUCAUAACAGUGCGGUUGUAUUUGGAAAGAGCAACUUGCAAGACUAAACAGAUUCCUUAUAAUUAGAAGGAGAAUAACGAGGCGAGUCUAAGCUGUUAGGAACACAUAAAGAAGAGGCAUAAUCUGCAGUUUCACUUUGACAACAAGAAUAUACCUAAAUGUUAUGCUCCAGAAAGUCAGAAAAGGACAAGAAUUAAUACCAUUGUCAAUAGGUAUCUGGAAGUUGGAUGUGCAGGGAUUUGGUGAACACGACCUCGAUCUGCACGGAUCCGGUGACGGUGACCUCGAUCUGCACGAAUCCGGCUAUGACAAGUUGGAGCUAUGGAAGGGACGAUCAUGGCAACGACGCCAUCGCUACAGAUCGACACGCAUGAACGCAUGAUGCGGGACAGGGCAUCUGUGAGACAUAUGGAUGAUGCACGUGAACGGAUUGGCACUGCCAUCUUCACUGCACCGAAGGAGAUCAAGCCCAUUUCCAUCAGCGUCAACUAGAACCUCCCCUCGACCUGCAUCCUUGUCCUUUCUUUUUUCUCUCCCCAAGAUAAGUUGGCAUGCUCCCUGUUCCUGCAUAAGGGCGGUGAGAUGGAUAUGGGUUUGGUAUUACAUGUUGAUGAACUGCUCAUUUGCCAGACUGUCAAACCAGACGAGCCUGAAAGGAACUAAGAGAAAUGACUAUUCAUUUACCAGUCUUGUCAUUCUCUGUAUUGUCAAUUUGUCAAUUCGACUGAUGCUUGAGUGUAUUAGUAGACAAAAUGACCUGUUUGUUGAUCAGCUAUGAUAUGUGUUUCCACUGGCUACUUGCCGCUUUCUGAGGGGUGGAUUUUAGCUUGAGAAUAUUUUUGCGAAAACAUAGCGGUGUUCUUGCUCUAAUGGAAAUUCAGAGUAGGGUGUUCCAAACUAGAUUGAUGCACGUAGGAAUUUGUGACUGAGUGUUAUGUUCAGAGCUACAUACAUGCUCACAGCGCUUCACCAAUCCUAGAACUUUCAUUUCAUUUUUUGUCUUGCUAUAAUCUGUCCAUUAAUCGGUAUUCUAGCUCCAUUAAUCAGUAUUCUAGCUGAAAGUUUCAAAGUUGUCAAUUGUUUUCGAAACUCGGUUCGCAGAGUGGCUGGUCCUUUUUUGGGACAUAUUGGGUUGAUUCAUUUCCCCAUUUUGUCUUGUAUUUUGUCAUACACAGUUCAAUUAGCUAAUUGUUAUUAUGCCAUAGCUAAAUUGUGCAACCUAUUGCCGCUCUGCCAUGGGUCACAUGGCCAUCCUUCAUACACUGCUUCACUAGGACUAACGCCGAAGUACAGAUGAUGGUAUGUAAGUUUUCACUAUUUCCUCAGUUGGUCUUUUUGUUUUUCCACGGUUUUCUAACUGGGUCCUCACACAUUUUUUGUGUGUGUACAUUACGGGCCACCUAGAAAAUUCCAAAAGAAGUUGCCUCUUGUUUGGACACCCCGAAGCACGGGCUGGCAAGACUAAGAUUGGGCAAAAAGAGCUUCAGGAGGACCGUUUAUGACACCUCACUCGACAGUCUAUUCUUCAAGCAAGGAUGGAAGAAGUUCCUCAUGAGACAUGACAUGAGAUUGGCACUGCUAUACUAAUUACAUUUAAGACCGUCGCCAACAAUGAGUUGGAGAUUAUAGGCAUCCUUUUAUGUCCUCUGAGAAGAUCAUGUUGGACGAGUUCCAGGCUUUCAUGAGUUUCUCUGCGUUUUUUUAAACCAUGGAGGCUGCAUGUGAACUUCAUAGAUGCGAGAAGAAAAGAAUAAAGGCACGUACAGAAUUCAAUUCCUCUUCUGUU